RNAcentral lists this long non-coding RNA (208 nucleotides) under Elaeis guineensis (African oil palm). Its description in RNAcentral is "long non-coding RNA (EGUI_LNC027733)". The record is from RNAcentral. Lineage: Eukaryota; Viridiplantae; Streptophyta; Magnoliopsida; Arecales; Arecaceae.
GGCAUGUUUACGGGCCCGAUCGAGCAUCUCAUCAUAAGUAUUCGAGAAAUUUUUAUUCAAAAAAAAAAUCAAAUGAUCGCUCUGGAGUCUCCUUUUCAAAGCAGACAUGGUAACUAAUUUAUUAAAAUUUUUUACCUCUAGGGUGGCUACGUUGAAACGAGCUACGUAUUUUUGGAGAUCUUCUUGUUUCUACUGCUGAAUAGAGAAG